AUUGAACGCUGGCGGCAGGCCUAACACAUGCAAGUCGAGCGCGAAAGGCUUUCGGGCUGAGUAGAGCGGCGGACGGGUGAGUAACGCGUAGGAAUCUACCUGGUAGUGGGGGACAACUUGGGGAAACUCAAGCUAAUACCGCAUACGCCCUAUGGGGGAAAGCGGGGGACCUUCGGGCCUCGCGCUAUCAGAUGAGCCUGCGUAGGAUUAGCUAGUUGGUGAGGUAAAGGCUCACCAAGGCGACGAUCCUUAGCUGGUCUGAGAGGAUGAUCAGCCACACUGGGACUGAGACACGGCCCAGACUCCUGCGGGAGGCAGCAGUGGGGAAUAUUGCGCAAUGGGGGCAACCCUGACGCAGCCAUGCCGCGUGUGUGAAGAAGGCCUUCGGGUUGUAAAGCACUUUAAGUGGGGAGAAAAGGGUAGCGGUUAAUAGCCGUUACCUGUGAUGUUACCCACAGAAUAAGCACCGGCUAACUCCGUGCCAGCAGCCGCAGUAAAAC
Molecule: ribosomal RNA, 500 nt
Filed under: uncultured bacterium
Lineage: Bacteria
Description: bacterial SSU rRNA
Rfam family: Bacterial small subunit ribosomal RNA
Source: RNAcentral